AUACUCUGAUGGAGUUGUUGAACAGAUUCGGAACGUACGUUGUUGAAUACGGCCCCUGCAAACAAACAAUAUUGCAACUAGUUACAGAGUGACUAAAU
This is a long non-coding RNA of Ipomoea nil (Japanese morning glory), 98 nucleotides long. RefSeq lists it as uncharacterized. The transcript has 3 exons. NCBI's taxonomy places the organism in Eukaryota, Viridiplantae, Streptophyta, Magnoliopsida, Solanales, Convolvulaceae. The record is from RefSeq and is a predicted model, not a curated record.